Molecule: non-coding RNA, 339 nt
Organism: Cyanistes caeruleus (blue tit)
Lineage: Eukaryota; Metazoa; Chordata; Aves; Passeriformes; Paridae
Source: RefSeq, a predicted model, not a curated record
GGGUGAGCUGCUUGUGUCACACCACUUAUUAAAUGAGACCUCCAGGAACUCAGUCAGUGUAGCAUGAGCUCACCUUUAAUGUCAGGCGAUGUUCUGAUGUUAAAUCUCCAGAAUUUUGCACAAGGAGGAGCAUCCACUGCUGGGGCAGGACAGCUCUCACCCCCCUGCUCUGAGGGCAUCCUGAGAGCUGCCAAAAUCCACCUGGAUGGACAAAGGAUGCUGCACAGCUCUUAAACCCUGCUGGGGAAAACCCAGGAGCAGCAAAUUCCAGAGGGAUUUGUGUGGGAGGAAAUCCUGUGGCCCUGUUUGCCCUGCACAGCCAAAGGUGAGCUCGGGAUC